UAUUUUCUCUUUUGCUCCCCUUGAUGUUUUCAAAGCAGGGCUCACAGUUUCCUAGACCACUGGCUGAAGCUCUUCCCACGCAAAUUCUGUGGCAUUUUGAGACAGACAUACAUUUUUAGUCCACCAUACUCAUGAGAAAAGCUCAAUCUGAUGGACGUGUUCAAAAUAUACUGUUUGCAUGCAGCUGAGCACAUGCACAGCAGCUUCCCUCAUGAGGAACACUGGAGAAGGCCCCUCACUACAAGAAUGACAUCAAGGGCACUGGAACAUGUUCAGAGAAGGGCAAUGAAGCUGAGAGGUCUGGAGCACAAGUAUUACAGAGAGUGGCUGAGGGAACUGGGAUCACUCAGGGGAGACCUUAUUGCUCUCUACAACUCCCUGAGAGGAAGCUGUGGCGGGGUGGGGGUCAGCCUCUUCUCCUGCAUAAGUAGUGA
Molecule: long non-coding RNA, 434 nt
Filed under: Gallus gallus (chicken)
Lineage: Eukaryota; Metazoa; Chordata; Aves; Galliformes; Phasianidae
Description: lncRNA (ENSGALG00010005664.1)
Source: RNAcentral